UGAAAUGUUCUUUUACAAGUCUGUCCCAGUCUUUUACCUGUGCCCACUUUAAUGAAACAUUCCUUCAUGUGUGUGCUUCAGCAAAACACCAUCCAAUAUAAUGGACUUUCCCAAGAACCCUUAAGUUUCCAUUUCGCUCUUCCCAAAAUGAGAACCUCAAAAUGUUUUUGGUCCAUGGUAAAGAAUUAUUAUAAGAACUUAGUAAGGCCAGGUAGGGUGACACAGGGCUUUAAUGCCAGUCCUUAGAUAGUGGAGGCACUGUAGAACACAUGAGUUCCAGGCCAGUCGGGACUAUGUAGUAAGACCCUGUCCUAAAAAGAGAAAAAUGAUUGGCUAAUAAGAGAAGUCAUUAAUGCUGUAAAAGAAAUUUCCCCUAACGAGGCUUGAGAGAUGGCUCGGCAGUUAAGAGCACUGGCUGCUGUUCCAGAGGGCCCAGGUUUAAUUCCCAGCACCCACGUGGCAGCUCACAAUGUCUGCAACUCUAUUUCCAGAGGGUCUGACACCUUCACACAGACACACCUGCAGGCAGAACACCAACGCACAAAACAAUCUACAAAUAAAAAAAAAAUAAGAAAUUUCCUCUAACGGGAUUUUUUUUUCAAUAAAAAUUUCAUUUAGUGGAUCACUGUAUUGGAUUUUUCCCCCCUUAGAAAUAAAUUGUGUUAUUAAAACU
RNAcentral lists this long non-coding RNA (673 nucleotides) under Rattus norvegicus (Norway rat). RNAcentral's name for it is "long non-coding RNA NONRATT024759". The record is from RNAcentral. Lineage: Eukaryota; Metazoa; Chordata; Mammalia; Rodentia; Muridae.